CCUACGGGAGGCAGCAGUAGGGAAUUUUCUGCAAUGGGGGCAACCCUGACCGAGCAACGCCGCGUGAGUGAAGAAGGUUUUCGGAUCGUAAAGCUCUGUUGUAAGUCAAGAACGGGUGUGAGAGUGGAAAGUUCACACUGUGACGGUAGCUUACNAGAANNNGACGGUUA
RNAcentral lists this ribosomal RNA (170 nucleotides) under Streptococcus thermophilus. Its description in RNAcentral is "partial 16S ribosomal RNA". It matches the Rfam family "Bacterial small subunit ribosomal RNA", at positions 338 to 499 of the family's 1533-position model. Lineage: Bacteria; Bacillati; Bacillota; Bacilli; Lactobacillales; Streptococcaceae. The record is from RNAcentral.